GGGUUUUUAGUAUAUAUUAGUACAAUCGAUUGCAGAUCGAAUAGAUAAUAAGCCUU
Molecule: transfer RNA, 56 nt
Filed under: Strongyloides papillosus
Lineage: Eukaryota; Metazoa; Nematoda; Chromadorea; Rhabditida; Strongyloididae
Description: tRNA-Cys
Source: RNAcentral